Molecule: ribosomal RNA, 254 nt
Filed under: uncultured bacterium
Lineage: Bacteria
Description: partial 16S ribosomal RNA
Rfam family: Bacterial small subunit ribosomal RNA
Source: RNAcentral
UACGUAGGGGCCAAGCGUUGUCCGGAUUUAUUGGGCGUAAAGAGCUCGUAGGCGGUUCGGCAAGUCAGCUGUGAAAUCUCCACGCUCAACGUGGAGGGGCCACCUGAUACUGCCAUGACUUGAGUCCGGUAGGGGAGUGUGGAAUUCCCGGUGUAGCGGUGAAAUGCGCAGAUAUCAGGAGGAACACCGGUGGCGAAGGCGGGUCUCUGGGCCGAUACUGACGCUGAGGAGCGAAAGCGUGGGGAGCGAACAGG